CUGCUCCUACGGGGCGCAGCAGUGGGGAAUAUUGCACAAUGGGGGAAACCCUGAUGCAGCGACGCCGCGUGAGUGAAGAAGUAUUUCGGUACGUAAAGCUCUAUCAGCAGGGAAGAAAUAAAGUCCUUUGGACUUUGGACGGUACCUGACUAAGAAGCCCCGGCUAACUACGUGCCAGCAGCCGCGGCAAUACGUAGGGGGCAAGCGUUAUCCGGAUUUACUGGGUGUAAAGGGAGCGUAGGCGGCAGCGCAAGCCU
RNAcentral lists this ribosomal RNA (257 nucleotides) under uncultured bacterium. RNAcentral's name for it is "partial 16S ribosomal RNA". It matches the Rfam family "Bacterial small subunit ribosomal RNA", at positions 333 to 590 of the family's 1533-position model. The record is from RNAcentral.